RNAcentral lists this ribosomal RNA (466 nucleotides) under uncultured bacterium. Its description in RNAcentral is "partial 16S ribosomal RNA". It matches the Rfam family "Bacterial small subunit ribosomal RNA", at positions 28 to 507 of the family's 1533-position model. The record is from RNAcentral.
GACGAACGCUGGCGGCGCGCCUAACACAUGCAAGUCGAACGAGCGAGAGAGAGCUUGCUUUCUCAAGCGAGUGGCGAACGGGUGAGUAACGCGUGAGGAACCUGCCUCAGAGAGGGGGACAACAGCUGGAAACGACUGCUAAUACCGCAUAGGACCACAGGACGGCAUCGACCAGAGGGAAAAGGAGCAAUCCGCCAUGAGAUGGCCCCGCGUCCGAGUAGAUAGUUGGUGAGGUAACGGCCCACCAAGGCAACGAUCGGUAGCCGAACUGCGAGGUUGAACGGCCACGUGGGGACUAAGACACGGCCCAGACCCCUACGGGAGGCAGAAGUGGGGAACAUUGCGCACCGCGGCAAGCCCUGAUGCAUCGGCGUGGGGUGGAGGAAUAAGGUCUUCGGAUUGGAAGCUCCUGUUGUUCAGGAAGAUAAUGACGGUACUCAACAAAGAAGUGACGGCUAACUACGUG